Long non-coding RNA from Apis cerana (Asiatic honeybee), 1372 nucleotides. RefSeq lists it as uncharacterized. NCBI's taxonomy places the organism in Eukaryota, Metazoa, Arthropoda, Insecta, Hymenoptera, Apidae. The record is from RefSeq and is a predicted model, not a curated record.
CUUCCUCUCUCUCUUCUUCCUUUUCUCUCGUUUCCCCUUGUUUUCUUUCUCUAUCUUUUUACCUCACUGUCACAUCUUCUUUAGUAAAUAUAAAAAGGGUUCACUUUUGCUGCAUAUUUCUAAUUAUUCAGAAUAUAUAAAUUGAAACCAUAGUUUUUUCUUUUUAUGGAAAAUUGUACACCAAAAAGCAUGCCUGAAAUAACCGGUUUUGCCGGGAAAAUACAUGUGAACAAGGCGUGGCAAAAUGGUUGGAGGCUAACAGGAACAGGAAUAUAGUAGGGGAACUUAACGGAACAUGUCGAAAACGACCGAAUCUGACAUCUAUUGAUCGUAACAGGUUCUGUACAGUUUCCUACGAUACUCAAAUAAUUCGAAUUUAAAAUUUUAUAUUUAGUUCAAAUGAAAUUUUAUAUUAAUUUAUUAAAUAUAUUAAAUAAUCACAAUUAUUUAGGUUUUUAUAUAUAUCUUACUUAUAUAAUAUUGUUUGUUUCAAUUCUUUAUAAUCAUAUUUGUGACUACGUUGAAUACUAUAACAUUAAAAAUAAAUAUAAUUGGAGAUUAUAUUUAUAAAUCAUCUUUUUAUGUACUUAUAUGUUAUUUUAAAAAAAUAAAUAUUGUCACAUCAGAAGUUCACUCUUGACUAUUUUUGUUGCCUUGUUUACGAAUAAAACUCAAGCAAACCGUUGAAUAGUUAAAUAUAAGUUGACAUUCUCAUUCCACGGAAUACUUGACUAUUGAUUUUAUCCCUACCAUGGUCUCUUCGUCCUUUGGUUAAUAAGUAUGCGCUGUAGCUGUGAUAGUAUGCGCAGAAAUGUAAUCGUCUUUAUGGAGAAGACGAGUUCACCACAAUAUAGUAGUAGUCUAACUUGAUGCAAGGAGAAAGGGGAUACUUGGAUACGUUGACCCAACAUCCCUGACUAGUCCUCCCUCUCCAACAUCUCCUCCCACAAAUCUGGUUUCAUUGCGAGUUGCGCACAACUUUCUAAGCUCGAACCUUCUCUGACGACGUUUGUUCAAGUUAUGCUCAUUGCGUGCAGAGUAGGGAUAGAAAAAGAUAAAGAUUUCAAUAAAGGUUCUGAUUAAUAAGAUUUUAUGAGUUUGUUCAAGAUUAUUAAUUGAACCUAUUAUGCAAAAAUAAUAUAGUUCUUCGUAUUAUUAACUACUUUUUAUUUUAAACUUAUUAGUUUAAAAUAUGUUUUUAUAUCAAAAAAUAUUAUAAAUAAAUAAAAAUAGAAAUAAACAUAUAUAAUUAAAUCAAUAUAAGUAAUGUUUAUGUAAAUAUAAAUAUGUAAUAUAAAUAUUCAAAUAUGCAUUUAUAUAUAUAUAUAUAUACUUGUAAAUAAAUAUAUAUAAAUAAAAUUUUUUAUUCUAA